RNAcentral lists this ribosomal RNA (433 nucleotides) under uncultured bacterium. RNAcentral's name for it is "partial 16S ribosomal RNA". It matches the Rfam family "Bacterial small subunit ribosomal RNA", at positions 29 to 507 of the family's 1533-position model. The record is from RNAcentral.
AACGAACGCUGGCGGCAUGCCUAACACAUGCAAGUCGAACGAGACCUUCGGGUCUAGUGGCGCACGGGUGCGUAACGUGUGGGAACCUGCCCUUAGGUUCGGAAUAACUCCCCGAAAGGGGUGCUAAUACCGGAUAAUGUCUUCGGACCACAGAUUUAUCGCCUUUGGAUGGGCCCGCGUUGGAUUAGCUAGUUGGUAGGGUAAAAGCCUACCAAGGCGACGAUCCAUAGCUGGUCUGAGAGGAUGAUCCGCCACACUGGGACUGAGACACGGCCCAGACUCUUACGGGAGGGAGCAGUGGGUAAUCUUGGAAAAUGGGCGAAGGCCUGAACCAGCAAUGCCGCGUGAGUGAUGAAGGCCUGAGGGUUGUAAAGCUCUUUUACCCGGGAUGAUACUGACAGUACCGGGAGAAUAAGCUCCGGCUAACUCCGUG